Molecule: ribosomal RNA, 5685 nt
Filed under: Triticum aestivum (bread wheat)
Lineage: Eukaryota; Viridiplantae; Streptophyta; Magnoliopsida; Poales; Poaceae
Description: partial small subunit ribosomal RNA
Source: RNAcentral
AUGUCCAGCAGGAUGGAGGACCAAAGUGUGCUACAGCGUAUACUUGAUGGAGACGAGAAACCGACGGCUCUGCCAUUUGCACUGCUAGAGCAGAUCACGGGUAAUUUCCGUGAAGAGCAAAAAAUUGGGCACGGUGGAUUUGGAGAGGUCUACAAGGGAGUUUACAACGGAGAAGUCAUUGCUGUGAAAAAGUUUUAUGACGUGCAAGCACUUGACAACAAGCAAUUCGAGAAUGAGUGUGUUAACCUUCUAAGGAUCAGACAUCCAAAUAUUGUACGGUUAGUCGGCUACUGUUAUGAAAAAAGCCAUAAAUAUGAUGAGUACAAAGGUGAACUGCGGUCAAUUCAAUACAUAUAUAGAAUUCUCUGCUUCGAGUACCUGGAGGGAGGAAGCCUAGACAAGUAUCUCAAAGAAUCUCGUGACCAUGACUGGCCGACACAUUACAAUAUAAUAGAGGGGACCUGUGAAGGUUUAAAUUUCCUUCACGGGGGAUGUGGAUCACCAAUUCUGCACUUGGAUCUAAAACCUGGGAACAUACUACUGGAUAAGUACAAGGGAGCAAAAUUAGCAGAUUUCGGGUUGUCAAAGUUCUUCAGUAAAACACAUAGUCAUAUCACAACUACAGCUAUAGGAACAGAGGAUUAUAUGCCACCAGAGUUCAGGAUUGAAAAUCUGGUCUCAUCAAAGAAUGAUGUUUACAGUUUAGGGGUUACAGUUAUAGAGAUAAUGGCUGGCCAUGGAGGCUACUCGAGAUAUCGUGAAAUGGAUGAUGCCACACAAUUUAUUGAGCUGGUAAUCACAAAUUGGCGUGAAUGGAUAAAUGCAACAACAUCACGGUUUCCAUCAGCAGAAUUAGAUCAAGUGAAGACAUGCAUUAAAAUAGCAAUAAAAUGUGUGCAUCCUGAAAGAAAGAAUAGACCCACUGUAGCAGAAAUUUUGGAUACCAUGCAGGAGACAGAAAAAAGGUUUCUGGAGGAAUGGAGGAAUGACACAGGAUUUCCCGUGGGACAGAGCUUGCCCACUCCAACUAAGACUGAACCAUGGGGUGGAAGUGGAGGUGAAGUUGUUGAUAUCAAAGAAGUUCCAUGGCGCCUGCACAGUGUCACAAUUAGUUACCAAGGGUUAAUUGAUGCAUUCUCGUUUUCUUACAUUGACCAAUCUGGGAAGAAGCAACGUGUAGGUCCUUGGGGUGAAGAGUACAGUUACCACAAAACUGAAACGAUCCGAUUCUACCCUACGGAGUUUGUCAAGGAAGUAUGUGGAGCAUAUGGGAGCCAUGGUGAAAACAUUCUUGUGACGUCCCUUAUGUUUGUCACCAACGUCAGAACAUAUGGACCAUUUGGAAAUCUUUAUCAUCGAAAUGUGGCAGCAAGUACUUUCAGGUUCAUGGCUGACAAGGGCAGCAGCAUUGUGGGGUUCCAUGGCAGAUCUGGCAGCCAUCUCUUUUCGAUUGGUUUUUACAUGUAUUCCAAUGAUAACACGGCGGUCAGGACUGCUUCCAAACCAGUGAUUCUCGAGGGCCAGAGAAUCGAGGCACAUGAGCAUGGAGAUGUUGACAAGCUCAUCGCGAGUAGAGAAGACACCAGCAUGCGAGCUGAGGAAGUCCCCGAGUCGAAAAAGAGAAAGAUUUCCGUGUCUACUUUUGGAAAGGGCAAACAUGGUAGCAGCGAAAAUGCAGGGGCAACAUCCAUGGACACCACUUCAAGCAUGCGAGGACUAUCUACUGAGCAAACAGAGGUGAAAAAGAGAAAGAUUGCCGAGUCUACUUCUGGAAAGGCCAAACUUGGUAGCAGCCAGAAUGCAGAGACAACUUCCAUUGACACCACUUCAAGCGAGCGAGGGCAAUGUACCAAGCAAACAGAGCAGUGUAAUUUGCACCCAUUGCAAAGUUUUUCGCGUCAUUAUCCUACCAACUCCACAUACCUAGGAGAAAAGAGUCGAGCCGUGGAUCUCACAAGGGGGGCUAUGGGAAGCCUGCUUGACAAGCUUGGCAAGCUUGUCACAGAGGACUACAAUCUUGAGAAGAGCAUGAAGAGAGAUAUCGAGUCCUUCUCAGAAGACCUAGCGAGUAUUCACAAAGACCUCUCCAAAUUGGAAAAGCUUGAUGGGGUCAAGAUUUGGGUUGAUGAAGUCAGGGAACUGUCAUAUUACAUUGAGGAUAUGGUUGACAGCUUCGUAGUGCACGUCGAGCCGAAUCCCAACAGCAGUGGCUUUAGGGAGCUCAAAGACAAGGGACUAAAGCUCCGGCAGAAUGGCAUGAUAACUCAUGAUCAGAUUGGUGAUGUGAUCAGACACAUCGAGAACCAAGUUCAAGUUGUGGUCCAGAGGAGAAAGAAGUACAACUUUGGUGUCAACAAUGUUGUAGCUAGUGCAACCGCCAAAGCUCCCAUUGACCCUCGGAUCUCUAUAUAUAUAAAUAAAAAACAGCUCAUUGGAAUAGAAGCAAAAAGAGAGGAGGUAAUAAAGUUGUUUGAGGAGGAUGAUGAUGAUGUAACAAAGCAAGAGCUCAAAAUAGUCUCGAUCGUCGGGUUGGGUGGAUUGGGAAAGACCACACUCGCCACAGCAGUGUAUGACAAGCUUAAGUCACAAUACCAGUAUAGAGCUUUUGUUCCGGUGGGUCAAAAUCCUGAUGUGAAGAAAGUUUUAUUGAGCAUUCUCAUGGAAUUUGGAAACAAAGCCAAUGCACAGGACUUGGAAUUGGAAGUGUGGCAGCUCAUCAACAAACUGCAAGAAUUUCUUGAGGAUAAAAGAUACCUCUUAGUAAUUGACGAUAUAUGGAAUUAUGAAGCAUGGGGUUCUAUUCAAUCUGCAUUUCCAGAAAACAGCCUUGGCAGUAGAGUGAUCACAACAACAAGGAUUCGUCGUGUUGCUCUUGGCACUUGCAAUGCCGAAGACAAAUAUGUUUAUAGAAUAAAACCACUUAGUGAUGAAGACUCAAGAACACUAUUUCUUAGAAGGACAUUUGGUCCCGGAAAAGAUUGCCCUGAUGCACUGAAAGAAAUUUCAACUGAUAUUCUUAAAAGAUGUGAUGGUAUGCCACUAGCUAUCAUUAGUAUAGCAAGUCUUCUAGCUGGUGAGGAAGAGUCAACCUGGGAUUCCGUAAGAAAAACUUUGGGUGCUUUGACUGAACAAGAUGGUCUUGAAAAGAUGAAGCAAAUACUUGAUCUCAGCUACAUACAUCUUCCUGAUCAUCUUAAGACAUGUCUACUUUAUGUUUGUAUGUAUCCAGAGGAUUGCGAGAUAUAUAAAAAUGAUUUAUUGAGGCUAUGGGUAGCGGAAGGUUUGGUGGUGAGCAAAAAUGGUAGGUUGGAUGCAGAGGAUGUUGCAGAAAACUACUUCAAUGUGCUGACCAACAUGUGUAUGAUCCAAGCUGGGAAGAUAGAUGACUACACCAAUGAAGUGUUAUCAUGGAGAGUACAUGAUAUAAUUCUUGAUCUGAUGAGAUCCAAAUCAAGUGGAGAGAACUUUAUUCAUGUAAUUGAUGGCUUGAAAGAUGUGACAGCGGCACACACUGAGAUCCGUCGAGUCUCGGUCCACUACAAUGAUAAAGAGGAUAUGGGAACUUUGGGAACAAUAAAAGGGUCACUUUCACAUGUUCGGUCAGUGUUCCUGUACCAAAGCUCACUUAUGCCUUGUUUUCUGCAGCACAAGUAUGUCCGAGUUCUACACCUUAAAUAUAAGGCAGAUUCUAAAUGUCUAGACCUCACUGGCAUUAGUAGGUUCUUUCUCCUAAGGUAUUUAAAGGUUUCAUGUGAUAGUUAUUCUGGCUAUGAGGUGAAGCUACCUAACAAAAUUGGGGAGCUACAACAACUGGAGACAAUAGAUAUAGAAGGAGCUUUACUAAAAAAUUAUCCUUCUGAUCUUUUUAAUUUGACUUCAUUAUCGCAUCUCAGAUUGACAGGCUGUAUUUCUGAUACACCGUGUCCUGACGGUAUCAGCAGGUUGAAAUCCCUGCGCACCCUAGUAGGUGUACAUGUGUAUGAUAGCUCAGUAGAGAUAAUCAGCGGCCUCAGCAAGCUGACCAACUUGAGAGAACUUCAUAUCCGGUUUCAUGGAAUUCACUCGAUGGAACAGAAUACUGCUUUGCACUCCUGCAUCUUCAUGCUUGCCGCCAACAUCAGGAUCCUCAGUAUCAGAAGUGGAUUUGCUACCAUACCAGAUGUCAGAGGCUGGCGCAGUUCACCGUUUCCUCGGGUUCCUCAUAUUCGGAAGCUUGAUCUGUUUGGUUGCGAGUUUCAAAGGUGCCCCGAAUGGAUUGGUCAGCUCCACGCCCUCACCGAGUUAAAUAUUGUGGUGAGGGAGGUGGCCGAUGGUUUGAGCAUAGUUGGAGGGCUUCCUUCACUUGCCGACCUCUGGUUGGGAAUUGAUUCAAGUAAAGAUGAAAAGGAAGAAAGUGUGGUCAUCCCUGGCGGCAGGGCAUUCAAUGCACUCAAAUGUCUAUAUUUCUAUUGUAGAAAGGUGUCACUGACCUUUGAAGCAGGGGCUAUGCCCAAGCUAGUGAAGAUUCGGAUAAUGUUUCGUUUCCACAUGGCUCGCCGAUUCUUACCAGUUGGCAUCGAGCACUUGCCAGCUCCCACCCUAAAAGAAAUCAAUUUAGUCGUGUAUUGGAACGACAGGGAACCGAAAGGUUCUGAUGGCUGGGAAACGGAUGACUGGAAAGCUUACUUUGAAUCAGAUGACUAUGAUGAGAAACUGUUGCAUCAUACAUCAAAGUUAAAGCGCAUGUUCAAGAGAGCAUUUAAGCAGCAUCAUCCCUACGCUGACCUCGACAUUUACUUCUACGAGGGUUAUGAGGAUGAAGAAUACGACGAUGAAGAAGACAACGAGGACCAGGGCGUCGAGGAAGAAGAAGAUUAUUAUUCUGAGGAAGAUGAUGAUGAUUCUUAUCAAGGGAAUGGAUCACAAACUUCGGCACAAGUCCAAGAUAACACAAGACAAUUAGCAGAGCUUAUUGAGGCCCAGCAAGGCUCUGCUGGGAUGAGGAUUACUACUGAUGAGUCUCAAAUGGUGGACACGUCAUUGCAUCUUGCGAUCGGAUCGGAGGGGCAGCAAAGCGGACGGGAUGAAGAUGAUGAUAAUGAAGGUGAGGAGGAUGCUGAUGACAAAGAAGAUGAUGACGAGGCUUCAUCAUAUCCAGGAAAUAGAUCUCAAACUUCAGCACAAGUCCAGGGUGAUCACACAAGGCAAUUAGUUGAGCUAAUUGGGCAAGAUUCUGGUGGGAUGAGUAUUAACACUGAUGCGCCUCUGAAUCUGAUGGUGGACACGUCGCUGCAUCUUUCAGUCAGGUCAGAGGGGCGUCAAAGCGGCGCCGUUUUGGUAUCCUCGCAGCCGUCUCCUACACACCCGCUUGCCCAUUGUUCUCCUUCCCCCUUUGAUUGGCUCACACUAGCACUAGGCCGUCCUCUGUACGAUGCUCUCUUAGUUCAGCAGGGUAAAAAUGACCACCUUGUUAAUGGCAGAGUUUAUUGUGGUGAAGAAGUUGAUGAGGCUGCUCAUCAAGUGAACGGAUCCCAAACUUCAACACAAGUCCAGGUUAACACAAGGCAAUUAGUUCAGCUGAUUGAGGCGCAGCAAGAUUCUUGUUGGAUGAGAAUUACUAUUGAUACAGCUCGAGUGGUGGACACGUCGCUGCAUCUUGCGGUCAGAUCAGAGGGCCAGCAAAGCGGGGGCGUUCAUAUUUCUUGA